AUUGAACGCUGGCGGCAUGCCUUACACAUGCAAGUCGAACGGUAACGGGCCUUCGGGUGCCGCCGAGUGGCGAACGGGUGAGUAAUACAUCGGAACGUGCCCGAUCGUGGGGGAUAACGAGGCGAAAGCUUUGCUAAUACCGCAUACGAUCUACGGAUGAAAGCAGGGGACCGCAAGGCCUUGCGCGGACGGAGCGGCCGAUGGCGGAUUAGGUAGUUGGUGGGAUAAAAGCUUACCAAGCCGACGAUCUGUAGCUGGUCUGAGAGGAUGAUCAGCCACACUGGGACUGAGACACGGCCCAGACUCCUACGGGAGGCAGCAGUGGGGAAUUUUGGACAAUGGGCGCAAGCCUGAUCCAGCCAUGCCGCGUGCAGGAUGAAGGCCUUCGGGUUGUAAACUGCUUUUGUACGGAACGAAAAGCCUUCUUUUAAUACAGGAGGGUCAUGACGGUACCGGAAGAAUAAGCACCGGCUAACUACGUG
Molecule: ribosomal RNA, 482 nt
Filed under: uncultured bacterium
Lineage: Bacteria
Description: partial 16S ribosomal RNA
Rfam family: Bacterial small subunit ribosomal RNA
Source: RNAcentral